UCUGAGUCUUGCUUUUUCAGUCAAUAUUAUGUUUGCCAGAUAUAUUUGUAUUGGUAGCUGUAGCUGCAGUUUUUUCAUUGUCACCCUUGUCUGGUGUGAAUAUACUGUAACUUACUUGUAUUCUCCUGUCCAAGGCCAUUUGGGUGGUUUCCAGUUUUUUACUGUAUGAGCAGUGCUACGCUGAACGUUCUUGUUCACAUCUCCUUGUUACACAUGCAAGAAUUUCUUUAAGGUUUGUCUGCCUAGGGGUGGAAUUAAUGGUCAUGGGGAUUGUAUCUUUGCCUUUACUAAAUAAUGCCAAACUGUUUUUGAAAGUGGUUAUACACUUGCACCAACAGUAUAUUAGAAUUCUCUUGUUCCACAUCCUCAUGAGCACGUAGCCCUGUUAUCAGGUUGAUAAAUUGUGGCCAAUCUUUUGGGUAUGAAAAGAUAUUUUGUGAUUUUAAUUUUCAUUUUCCCUGAAAACAGUAAGGUUAGUGUGUUUUCAUAUAGUUUCUGGCCAUUUGUAUUUCCUCUUCUGUGAAGUGCUUAUUCCUGUCUUUUGCCUAUUUUUAAAUUGAGUAGUUUGUCUUUUUCUUACUGAUUUUUAGGGAACUGUAGACCCAUUAAAUAACAGCUCUCUAUUUCCCCCUUCCCUCAGUCCCUGGUAACCACGAUUCUGCUUUCUGUGCUGUGUAUUUGACUGUCCUAGGCACCUGCUAUAUAAGUGGAGCUCUCCUACCAGGGUCUGAACCUGCCCCACCUCGGUCGAGCUGGCCAGGUCAACUUUGUAGUGUGCCAACUCUUUGCCUUGCUAGCAGCCAUUUGGUUUCGAACUUACCUGCAUUCAAGCAAAACUAGCUCUUUUAUGAGACAUGUCGUUGCUACCCUUUUGGGCCUUUACCUUGCACUUUUUUGCUUUGGAUGGUAUGCCUUACAUUUUCUUGUACAAAGUGGAAUUUCCUACUGUAUCAUGAUCAUAAUAGGAGUGGAGAACAUGCACACGUACUGUUUUCUGUUUGCUUUGGGAUACCUCACAGUGUGCCAAAUUACGAGAGUCUACAUCUUUGAUUAUGGACAAUAUUCUGCUGAUUUCUCAGGCCCAAUGAUGAUAAUUACCCAGAAGAUCACUAGUCUGGCUUAUGAAAUCCAUGAUGGGAUGUUUCGAAAGGAUGAGGAACUGACUCCAUCACAGAGAGGUUUAGCUGUAAGGCGCAUGCCAAGCCUACUGGAGUACUUGAGUUACAACUGUAACUUCAUGGGUAUCCUGGCAGGCCCACUCUGCUCUUACAAGGACUACAUUACUUUCAUUGAAGGCAGAUCCUACCACAUGGCACAAUCGGGCGAAAACGGAAGAGAAGAAAUACAAUAUGGAAGAACAGAGCCGUCUCCAAAUAUCGCAGUUAUUCAGAAGCUCUUAGUCUGUGGACUUUCCUUAUUAUUUCACUUGACCAUCUCUAAAACAUUGCCUGUGGAGUAUAACAUCGAUGAACAUUUUCAGGCUACGGCUUCAUGGCCGACAAAGGUUGUCUAUCUAUAUGUCUCUCUUUUGGCUGCCAGACCCAAAUACUAUUUUGCAUGGACAUUGGCUGAUGCUAUUAAUAAUGCUGCAGGCUUUGGUUUCAGAGGAUAUGAUGAAAAUGGAGCAGCUCGUUGGGACUUAAUUUCCAAUUUGAGAAUUCAGCAAAUAGAGAUGUCAACAAGUUUCAAGAUGUUUCUUGAUAAUUGGAAUAUUCAGACAGCUCUUUGGCUCAAAAGGGUGUGUUAUGAACGAGCCUCCUUGAGUCCAACUAUCCAGACAUUUAUUCUCUCUGCCAUUUGGCAUGGGGUGUACCCAGGAUAUUACCUGACAUUCCUAACAGGAGUGUUGAUGACAUUAGCAGCGAGAGCUAUGAGAAGUAACUUCAGACAUUAUUUCGUUGAACCUCCCCAAGUUAAAUUAUUGUAUGAUGUUGUAACAUGGAUAGUAACUCAAAUAGCAAUAAGUUACACAGUUGUGCCCUUUGUACUUCUUUCUAUAAAACCAUCAUUCAUGUUUUACAGCUCCUGGUAUUACUGCCUUCACAUUGUUGGUAUCUUAGUGUUGUUGUUGUUGCCGUCGAAAAAAACUCAAAGAGGAAAGAACAGACAUGAAGAUAUUUGGCUGUCACAAUCCAAAAAGUUUGAUGAAGGAGAAAAUUCUUUGGAACAGAAUAGCUUUUAUACAACAAACAAUGUUUGCAAUCAGAAUCAAGAAAUGGCCUCCAGACAUUCAUCUUGAAAGCAACGAUGUGGAAAAUACUCUGACAGCUGUUUUUUGUAUGUUAACAGAAACCAAUCUUAGCACCUUUUCAAGGGGUUUGUGUUUAUUUGAAAAGAGAUUAAUUUGGGGGAAUUGGACAGUUAUAAAUAGGGAAUCUCCUGUGUACCAGAUUGGAAAUGGAGUAAAGAGCCCCUCCCAUGCCAUGUCCCUAUGGGCCACGCCUUAUAUAAAAUAUUUUCAUUAUUUCCAUGGGCACUCAGGACCUCAGCAUAUGUCCACAGGAUCACGUGUGCCCUGUUGCUGAAUGUAUGUUGCGAAUCCCAAGGCACUGAAGAGGUGGAAAAAUAAUUGUGUCAAUCUGGGUGAUUGAGAGAAAUUAACUUUUCCAAAUGAAUGUCUUGCCUUAAACCCUCUAUUUCCUAAAAUAUUGUUCCUAAAUGGUAUUUUCAAGUGUAAUAUUGUGAGGGCACUAUUUCAGUAUUUGAUAUUGUGUGCUAUAAAGGAAUUCUGGAGGAAUUUGAAACAGGAUAUUUAAGAUUGUGGAUAGUUUAAAAAUGCAAUAAACAUCUCAGUAUUUGAAGGGUUUUUUAAAGUAUCUCAGAUGACUACAGUACAUAGUGAAAGUGUAAACAGGAAUGGAUGCCAAAUUAUAGAUAGCUGAUUUUCCUGGAGAGGUUAAUUACCUUGUGUCAGUCAGAGAGCCCUUCAAGGAAGAAUUUCUUAAACAUAAUUAAAGGUUGGCGAUUUGAUACUUUAAGCUUAUUUUCUUAUAAAGAGAGCGAAAAAGAUGACGACAAAGAAAGGAAGGAAGGAAGGCAUGAAUGAAGAGAGCACUGUGUGACCUGGGGCCAGAGCCAGUGGCAGCCGUCACAGGGCACAGGUGCACAGUGCAGGGACCAGGUGCUCAGCAGGAAUGCUUUCCACCCUUAUUUAUCUGAGCUCUUUGUGAUUAUGUAAGACAUAAAAGUUUAAUAACUUUUUAAUAUGUUGGAUGUUUAAAUGAAAUUUAUCAAGCAUAAAUUAUAUGGAAUUAUAAAAGGAUUAUGAAAAUAAUAGUGGUAGAUUGCUUGAAGGUUUUGAAAGAGAAAUCACUGAGCAGGGUUACUGUCUAGCUAAUCACUUUCUUAUCCGUGACAGUUUAAUUCAAAUUUGAGUAAGUUUUAGGGAAAUGAGAACUUAAAGUCAUUGGGUUUGAACCACAUUUUUAGAGAAUAUAAAUUAGUUUCCAAGCUCUUCUCCCAUUAAAAUUCUGCUCUUAACUCUUGUUAAUGAAUUUUAGAUUCUGUAAGUAGAAAAAUGUGCUUUUGUCUUAUGGACCAUUUUUCAUCAUAAUCUCGCCUUGUAUUAGCAAGUAUCUCCUUUAAUCCCGCAGAGUCGUGUAAUGGCUGCAAUAGCCAAAAGCAGAAGUGUGGGGUGUGGGAUGUGAGGCUAGCCUGGCCACAGGUCAUAAAUCACGGACCGUGAGAGUGACGGACGGGCAGGGCCUUCUGGCUUCACCUUUGUUUGAUCAGUCUUUUAUGGAAUUCAUUUUUUUUGCCUUAAAUUUUUUAAUGAAAUGCAAAUUGUCUGUGGUGAGUCUCUUUUCUUAAAAUUUUUGUCAUUAAUAAAUUUGCAAAUGAAGUUAAGGACAGAACAACUAUCUGGCUUAAGCUAUGUGAUAUUUCAUUUCAAGAUGAGAAAAGCACAUGGACUUGGAACUUUUGAGAUCUUCAUCAGCAAAAAUGUCAACGUAUCUUUUUAGAACUUUGGAAAUAUCCUAGUCUUUGUUUAUAUGAAAUGUUUUUUUCUGAAGGUAAAUUUUUUCCACCUGAUGAGUUAGUCUUGCCCUGUUCUCUCCCAGGAAAAGAUAGAGAGCUAAAUAAAUUUUCUCUAUUUUCUCCUAUGCCGAAAUUAGGCUAGUUCUGUAAUGUGAGAGGAUAGAAAAGAGUAAUCAUGGAAAGUAUCAGGCCCCCAAAAUGUCUCCUCAGUUUAAUUAAUGCUGCAGAGAAUCUGAUCACUAUUAAGGAAAAGUAAACAAAUUUAGAAUUUAAAAGACAAGUCUAGGCAUGUCGUAAGGGAAAACAAGAAAGCUUAAUAAAAACUUUCUUUUUGUUCAGCCUAUCUAACCAUUUACAAAUAAUCACCAUUUAUUUCUAUUACCUGACUGUAUUUUAUUUCUCAGCCUGUAACUCUAAAAUCACUGUUGUCUAUUUCUUGCUCAGUGAACAUAAUCAUAGCACUACCAUCCAGAAAGCAACAUGAUUGAUGAAUUCUCCGUUACUUUGAAGAUAAUACAUUAUAUAUACAGUUUGACUGAUUUUCAUCCCCCUGGAUAACUUGUUUUUUGUAUGAAGUGGUUUUUGGAUAGCUUUUCUCUAAUUUUGGAGAAAUUAUAAUCACAGGUAUGCAAUCUAGAAGAAAAACUAAAGAAAUAAUUCUAAUUUUCAGCUUGACUUUUCUCCUCAAGAAAAAACUUUUUGUGCUCUAUAAAGUGAAUAUAUCUACCUGGAGUGUUUAAGGAUUAAUACUAAUACUUACAGUAGAAGAGUUGAAAAGUGGUUUAUCUCUACUACUGGUAAGUGUAAGGGAGUGCUUCCUUCUUAAUCAACAGAAUAGGAUUCAGUGCAUAUGUGUAUUAUUUCUCCACUCUCCAGUUGUCCUGAAACCACUCCAGAGAUGAUCAGUCAACAUCAUAUUUAUACUUUUGGUUAAUUAUUAUACUACUCAGGGAAACAAUGAACGAAAAUAAUUAUUCUUCCCUCAACUUCAUUUUCUUGAAACGGUAACAGUUUAAUUUGAUGUGUCUCAGCUGUCACCAUUUCACAGGUGGCUUAGUCUCGGGUUUUAAAAUAAGCAUUUUUAUUGGAACUCAGGAUAACCGGGGAAAUUUAUUUAGCUUCUAAAAUGUCUAGAAUAAUAGAGAAGGUUUAUUUGGCUUCAAAAAUGUCCUUCCACCAUUUACGUGGCCACCAUACUUUGGGGUAAAAAGUAUUUUUGUUACUGAUCCCUGCCAUGUGUGACAUGCGCAUACAGAAUUUCCAGAUACCAGUUUUGAGAAAAACUUGCAGUGAAGAGAAUGGUUCUAAAAAGUGACGUUAACUUAGGUUGAAGCACUGAUUGUCCUGGGACGAGACCUGGGUCUUCAUCUGGCUCAGUCAUCAAUGAGCUUAUGUCCUCUAGAGGAAAGUUCCUUAAGAAGCCCAAAGGGUCGGUUCUGAACGUUUGUGCCCAGCUGUGUUUGUAAUGAGUGGAAGCCUCAGCAAGAUCCGUAAGAGUCACAGACAAGGGCGGGUUCACAACCGGGACUGUUGUCAUGGCCAUUUACUUUUAUUACUUGAGCUCGAAGUCCUGACGUUUCAGAAGAUGUUCAUAGCAACAGAAGAAGGAAAACUUUUCAAUCCAUAAACCAGAAGGCGUGGCAGCACACCAUUUCUACUGAAGAUAGCCCCUAACAUGAGUCUUUCCUAAUGAAAUUGUCUCUGCUGAAGAAAAUAUAUUUUCCUUUUACCUUCUUUGCUUUUUCGGUUUCUGUUUGUACUAUGUAAAACUGAAGAAGAUAUAUGCUAAAAAAUACUUUAUGCAAAUUACCAACUUCACUGGGCAGGGUUUACCACCAUGUAAGUUCUCAAAUAUUAUUUUAUUCAAAGAUAUUUAAAGCAUAUUUAACUUAAUUAUACCUAUUUUAAACUAUAGAAAAAAUUACUUAAAAUUUUUGCCAUUAAAAUAAUUACAAAAUUUAGACUUUUAUUCAAGGACUAGAUUACUUAGGACAAAAAUCUUUCCUAUUUAAAAUUCAUACCUUGUAAAUUUUAAUUUUUAUAUUCAUGAAUAACUCUGGACAUUUAUACUUUUUUGUUUCCUCCUUAUUAUAAAUCGUUCAGAAUUACUAGUUAUUGGUUUUAAGAGUUCUACAUUGUAAUUGAAAGAAAAAAUUACUUGAGAGAAUAAUUGUUUCAGAAUGAUGCCUGUUGCUGUGUCAGUGAAAGAUUUGUCCAGAGUUUUAGAUACAAACCAGUAUUUUGUGGAGUUUUCUUCAGCCACUAAUAGUCCAUCCUGGCUGAAAUUGAAUAUAUCAGAUUUAACAUAGGUGCAGAAUUCUGACUAACACUGUGAAAUGUGAUCUCCACUGCCCUGCAGGACUUUCUGAAACUGUUACACUGCCCAGUGUGCAUUUAAUGAAUGGCUGAUCGUUUCCAUACUUAUCUGAGAUGCUGAAAGUUCUGCUUUCCACAGCUCUUCCUUGCAAAAGUGGGUUUGUAUCAGUGCACCUGAGGGGAAAGAUUUGCAUUUAAAAAAAGAAAUUCCACUCUGAAAUUUGGAUUUGAAAGAUUGGAAUGUAGAGAGGGUGUCUACAGUGUUUUUCUGCAGCACCAGGUAGUCAGAUCUAUUCAUAGUAACUCUCAUCGCAGAGUAAAAUUUAAAAUGAAAUUUUCCACGUUGGUAUUUUGUAGGAAUGCUCUUAUAAUCCAGGACUAAGCUGCUUUUUGAGGCUCUUGUUGUACAGAGGAUGUAGCCAAUUACAUUUUAAUUGGUGGGCUGUUUAAUAAUGUUUUUAUAUGUUUUAAAAUAUUUAUUUUAAUAGGUUUUUAACAUUAUGCAAACCCCUGUAAAGAACUGACAAGCUCUAUAGGUCAUUGAUCUGAAACGGAGUCUAAAGACACAUUUUUGUGCUGACUAAUUUGUCUUGCCUUUAAAACUGCUUAUAACUACAGUCAUGCGCCACAUAACGACGUUUCAUCAAGGGCAGACCACAUGUACGACCGUGGUUCCAUAAGAUUAGUGCCAUACAGCCUAGGUUUGUAGGAGGCUAUCCCUAGGUUUGUGUAAGUGCACUCGAUGGUGUUCCCACAAUGACAAAAUCGCCUAAUAAUGUACCUCUCGGAACGUAUCUCCAUCGUUAAGCAACUGUUUGCUGUUUCUUCUAGUGUGCCGUUUAUAAAGCAAAAAAACAAAACAAACCCCCAAGACUAUAUGUUCUAUAAAUAAUAGGAUAAAGAUCCACGUAAACCAGUCUAAAGCUUUCUCAGUGAUGCAUAGCCGUCUGUCCAGUCAUGUUUUUAUCAAAUUUUGCUACUAUAAAAAGAAAUGGAAAUAGAAUGAAAAACCCAAAGUUACAGAGCAACAUCAGUAGAAUGACUGACUAGCUGUUUUCUUAAUAACGUGUUUGAAAUGGAAAAAGUGACCAACUGCCUUUUACUGGAGUCGUGAAUGACUGUAUCCUGCCCAGUCUCUAUUUUGGGAAAACUUCUUUGAGAAAUUGGUUUGUUAAUAUUCCUUUUAAUCCUUUCCUGCUAAAGGACAAACACGUGUAAAGAGUUUGACAGACUUUUAAAAUAUGCCUCUUUCCCAAUUUUAAGUAUUUUUGGUUCUGUGUAUAUGAAUUCGUCAGUGAAGUUCAUUUGCUCCUGAGUUUCUAUCACAAGGAGAGAAGAAACAAACAUCCAACACAAAUGUGUUCCAAACAGUCGUCUCCAUCUUCCGGCACCCGUAUGCAACUGCCUCGCCGAACAAGAAGAUGCACUACAUAGAGCAAUAAGAGUGAAAGUAAGACUAAUUCAGAUGAAGCAAGAAAAACCCUUCUGCAUACCGAGUGGAAGUGUGUGAUUUCAUUCCUGCCUUCCUUUCGAAGUUCUCUCUCGAUCUCUGCCUAGGAGUGGUUGAGCAUCGUUACCCAAACGUGAGGAGGGUCCAGCGCCAGCAGCCAGUAUUGACAGUCCUCAUUUGCCAGCGCCGGCAGCCAGUAUUGACAGUCCUCAUUUGCCUUCCCUGGGUGAGAAUAGAAUGUGGUGGUCUGUGCUUUUUGUUUUUAUUAUUCCAAAAUAUUUUUUUAAAGAAGUGUUAUUUUUCAACAGAUCCAUAAAUUAGUUCUUGUUGUAUGGUGAAUUUAAACUACCACUGUGUCAGUUACACUGUGAUGUGAUAAUUUCAUAACCACUCAUUUCUAGUGUCUGUCCUCAGAGCUGCACUAGUGGCUUAUUGCUGGGUUUUAAAGAUGUUUUUAACUUACAUAUAAAUGUUUUUUUUUCUAAUUUGUGUGUCUUUAAGACUGAUUAAACAGUAGUUUAAAAAUA
This is a non-coding RNA of Equus caballus (horse), 8271 nucleotides long. Lineage: Eukaryota; Metazoa; Chordata; Mammalia; Perissodactyla; Equidae. The record is from RefSeq and is a predicted model, not a curated record.